GAGUUUGAUCUUGGCUCAGAACGAACGCUGGCGGCAGGCUUAACACAUGCAAGUCGAACGCCCCGCAAGGGGAGUGGCGCACGGGUGAGUAACGCGUGGAUAUCUGCCUUUUGGUUCGGAAUAACCCCGGGAAACUGGGGCUAAUACCGGAUGGUUCCUACGGGAUAAAGAUUUAUCGCCAAAAGAUGAGUCCGCGUCCGAUUAGCUAGUUGGUGAGGUAACGGCUCACCAAGGCGACGAUCGGUAGCUGGUCUGAGAGGACGAUCAGCCACACUGGGACUGAGACACGGCCCAGACUCCUACGGGAGGCAGCAGUGGGGAAUAUUGGACAAUGGGGGCAACCCUGAUCCAGCCAUGCCGCGUGAGUGAUGAAGGCCUUCGGUUGUAAG
This 389-nucleotide ribosomal RNA is filed under the name uncultured Alphaproteobacteria bacterium. RNAcentral describes it as "bacterial SSU rRNA". It matches the Rfam family "Bacterial small subunit ribosomal RNA", at positions 9 to 429 of the family's 1533-position model. The record is from RNAcentral. Lineage: Bacteria; Pseudomonadati; Pseudomonadota; Alphaproteobacteria.